GAUCCUGGCUCAGGAUGAACGCUAGCGGCAGGCUUAACACAUGCAAGUCGAGGGGCAGCGUGGAGUAGCAAUACUCUGGCGGCGACCGGCGGAAGGGUGCGUAACACGUGAGCGACUUGCCCGAUACAGGGAGAUAACCGGUGGAAACGCCGACUAAUAUCCCAUACGACAUGAGGCUGCAUGGCCUUGGGUUGAAAGGUUCGUCCGGUAGUCGGAGUAGGCGUCGCGGGACGAUUAG
Molecule: ribosomal RNA, 238 nt
Filed under: uncultured bacterium
Lineage: Bacteria
Description: partial 16S ribosomal RNA
Rfam family: Bacterial small subunit ribosomal RNA
Source: RNAcentral